RNAcentral lists this transfer RNA (73 nucleotides) under Rickettsiales bacterium. RNAcentral's name for it is "tRNA-Arg". It matches the Rfam family "tRNA". Rfam says of the family: Transfer RNA (tRNA) molecules are approximately 80 nucleotides in length. Their secondary structure includes four short double-helical elements and three loops (D, anti-codon, and T loops). Lineage: Bacteria; Pseudomonadati; Pseudomonadota; Alphaproteobacteria; Rickettsiales. The record is from RNAcentral.
GCAGCUUUAGCUUAAUGGUUAUGGCGUCUGACUUCGAAUUAGAAGGUUGGAGGUUCGAGUCCUUCAAGUUGCU